GCCACGGUGGGACAACCUGGUAACGAGCAGCAAAAAGCUGGUUGUUGGGUAAUACUCCGCCGGCCUUGAGAGCCGGUUGCCGCAAGGCUAUCCCGGUUCAAAUCCGGGCCGUGGCG
Molecule: transfer RNA, 116 nt
Filed under: Nanobdellota archaeon
Lineage: Archaea; Nanobdellati; Nanobdellota
Description: tRNA-Ser
Source: RNAcentral